This 1786-nucleotide non-coding RNA is filed under the name uncultured fungus. RNAcentral describes it as "sequence contains 18S rRNA gene, ITS1, 5.8S rRNA gene, ITS2, 28S rRNA gene". The stretch from base 418 to 1786 matches the Rfam family "Eukaryotic large subunit ribosomal RNA", at positions 1 to 1474 of the family's 3401-position model. Lineage: Eukaryota; Fungi. The record is from RNAcentral.
GGAGGGAUCAUUAAUGAAUGACCCUAUGGGCCUUCAACCUUAAAAACCGUGGAAUCGACCCGUGCUUCGACGCCCCCGUGGCGUCGCAUUAAUGCAGAAUAAUCUGUGUCUGAAUAUGAUCUAGAAUUAAAACUUUCAACAAAGGAUCCCUUGGCUCUUGCAUCGAUGAAGAACGUAGCGAAGCGCGAAAUGUAGUGUGAAUCGCAGAACCUUGUGAAUCAUCGAAUCUUUGAACGCACAUUGCGCCUCCUUCACGGGGGGCAUGCCUGUCUGAGUGUCAUUUAAACCAAAUGGGCCCAAUCUGGGUCCCGUGUUGGGCCUCGCUCUUUGAGGGCGUCGCCUCGAGACCAUUGGUCUAAUGUGCGGGCGAGUUCCUCUAGGACGGACCGCGCUGUGGACCGCGAGACUUUCUGAUUUUGACCUCAGAUCAGGUAGGGACACCGCCUGAACUUAAGCAUAUCAAUAAGGCGAGGAACAGAAACCAACAGGGAUUCCCUCAGUAGUGGCGAACGAAGUGGGAAAAGCUCAAGUUUGAAAUCUGGCGGGUGACCUCCAGAGUUGUAAGCUGAUGAGGCGUCGACCGACGCGGUUCGGGCUCAAUUUCCUUGGAACAGGAGGUCAUGGAGGGUGAGAACCCCGUCUAUGGCUCGAGUACCGUCGUCCUUGUGUCGUGCCCUCUAAGAGUCGGGUUGUUUGGGAAUGCAGCUCAAAAUGGGUGGUAAAUUUCAUCUAAAGCUAAAUACUGGCGAGAGACCGAUAGGAAACAAGUAGAGUGAUCGAAAGGUGAAAAGUACUUUGAAAAGAGAGUGAAACAGUACGUGAAAUUGUUGAAAGGGAAGCGCUUGGCAUCAGCCCUUGGCGUCGGUACAUCAACCCGGCUUCUGUCGGGUGCACUGUACCGUCGUCGGGCCAGCGUCGGCUUUGCCCGCCGGAGAAAGGCUCAGGGGAUGUGGCUCCCUUCGGGGAGCGUUAUACCCCUGGGCGUCAUGCGGUGAGGCGGGGCCGAGGUCUGCGGUUUAUACCAAGGACGCUGGCGUAAUGGUUCCAAGCGACCCGUCUUGAAACACGGACCAAGGAGUCUAACAUCUAUGCGAGUGUUUGGGUUUCAAGCCCAUCCGCGCAAUGAAAGUGAAUGCAGGCGGGAGCCUUUAGAGGGUGCACCGUCGACCGGUCCGGGGGUUUACCGAAGGAUCUGAGUAAGAGCAUAGCUGUUGGGACCCGAAAGAUGGUGAACUAUGCCUGAAUAGGGUGAAGCCAGAGGAAACUCUGGUGGAGGCUCGAAGCGGUUCUGACGUGCAAAUCGAUCGUCGAAUUUGGGUAUAGGGGCGAAAGACUAAUCGAACCAUCAACUUUGUAGUGUUGCUACUAGGUGGUUAAGAGGCAGCUCAAAGUGUCUGUCUAGUCCCUCUCUCGGGGCGAUACCGUCAAAUUGCGGGAAAGUCCUAAAGACUCUGCUACCAAACUCCCAUGGAAACAUGGGCGUGGCCGGGGUAAUGUCCUAGGGUAUGGUAACAACGCAGAGUAUGAACCUUCUUGGUGAAAUGGAUGAUCCGCAGCCAAGUCCUAAGGCUCAUUUGAGCUAUGGAUGCAGUUCACAGACUAAAUGGCGGUGGGUCCAUCAAUUGUAUGGGCUUAAGAUAUAGUCGGGCCUGCCCUGAAAGGGGCCCAUUGGGAUGAAGCGGUGUGGGCAGAGAGUCAUGGCAUUUGUCAUGAGCCUAUAUCGCUGGAGCCCUUUGGGGGUCACAUUGGAUGUGGCCUGGGGUUGUUGCUAGUAGCUGGUUCCUGC